This 5981-nucleotide ribosomal RNA is filed under the name Triticum aestivum (bread wheat). RNAcentral's name for it is "partial small subunit ribosomal RNA". The record is from RNAcentral. Lineage: Eukaryota; Viridiplantae; Streptophyta; Magnoliopsida; Poales; Poaceae.
CAAGAAAUAUAAUAAGUGUUGGAUUUCGUGAGGAACUGACUGAACUAUUUUUUUACUGUCGGCAGCCUGUGUGUGUGCGUGUGCGGCAGCGGUGUGUGUGGUGACUGUGUGAGAGAGUAGAACGAGGGCCUGUUCGUCGCGGAGGCGGGAGGGGUGACGUAGGGCGGCGGCCGUGUCCCUGGGAGGGAACGACGCGCGACGAAGCCGUCCCUGACGGGGAGACGGAGGGGUGAGGGGUACCGACGACUCUGCCGGCGGGAAGAGAACGGAGAGGUGGAGGCAGGCGCCUCCGCGUCUGAAGGAGAGGUGGUCUAGGAGCCAGCACCUGAGCUGUACUCUCGACCUCCCGAGGGGAUGCGGAUGGAGGAGGAGGGCACCCUGUUCUGCGUCUUAGCCUCGUUCGCGGCUCCUCGCGGCCGAUCCUGCGGCACGAGGCUACCCAACCCGCACAACGCUCGGAGUGGCACCGGUUCAUGGUGUACGAGGUCUCACCUACCAGCUACGGGAGGGGUGGACCGGUGGAGUGCGCACUGACCAUAAAGCAGUAGGACGGAGACGAGCUAAGCCGAGGCAGGCUACCGCCACGAACGCGGAACUGCGGCGCGGAGCGUGCUACCGGCGGUCUUCGGAUACGGAACCGGCGAAAUCGAUAACAAAUCGAGACUGUCUUAGUUCAGUUAGUUGAUGCCCUGUAUAAAAACACAUGUGAAGAACACGUAUACACUUCCCUUCGUUCGAACCUAAGUGACCUACUACAUAUGUGUGGUUCACGUGGAGCGAAAGUAUUAUCGUUCGUUGGAGUAUAACUCCAUGCAAGAGAAGCGAACGUCGGAAAAAUUCUCAAACCAAAAAGGUGAAUCAGAGAAGACUACCACUACAGAGUCUUUUAGCGAAAGAGGCCACCAACUAUUAAAAUCGAGAUAUACGAACACAACGUUUGUCGUGUUCGUUGACCCGUUGGUAAACAAAGUAUUUGAGUUUGGUAACUUGAAUUUUUGUAGUGGAAGGCGUCGACCACACAUAGCAUCAACUCACUGUCGUCUAACGGGUCAUCCGAAGAGGCGUCACACUUUUAGACAGUCUUUCUUAACUAGUAUCUAUACUAAUAUGAACACUGACGAUGUAGUAUUUCUUGUCUUUUUUACCUGUAUGGUCCACUAUACCGGUACCCACAGAAUCUACCUCACGCGAAAGUUAAAUCUUUCCUCUACAUCGAAACAAUAAUAGGAAACGGAGCACAGAAGAAAAAUUAUAGAGCACAGAAGAAAUUAAGAAAACCUAGACGAAAAACUGGACAGAGGUUCUUUUAGAAGUCCUAGAUAUUCCAGGUUCAUCCAUUCUCAACCACUAUAUAAAUAAAUGGGGACCCAUUUAUCGUUUAGUUCAUUUAUUCUUUCAGAACAUGUAGAGUAAAACCUUUAAACUCUUUACUAGUUCUCCACUUCAGGUGAAACUAAAAAUGGAACACGUCUGAAUCCAAACAACAUCCAGGAACAUCAGUACCAAAAGAAAUUUUGUUUAGUAUGUAGUAGCUUGGUACGACUUGAGUGCACAUGUCUCAUACGACAGUAGUAGAAUGUAUCGUAGAAGAUAUUUAGUAUGUGUUUUAAAGCCUUAGACUUGAUGUGUUGAAACUUUGUUUGACUUUUCAAUAGUCGUAGACGUGAUUUGUAACCAUUCAAUCGAAAUCCUCUUUGUAUGAGUUUCUUAUAGACUCAGCCGGCAAUAAGUAGAACUGUCAUUCCGUGCUAUCAGUAAUUUAAGCAUAAUGCUAAGAAGCACGGUUGUGAUGUUGGAUGUUGUCAUUUAGUAUAUAUAUUGAUACAGGCUUUGAACUGUAGUAUGUUACACCUUCUUCCUUAAUUUAACGGUUUUUAUAUAUGUAUGGAAUGAGAAAUUGACGCAAAUGAGCUAACGACUCAGACUACUUAACGAUGUAUUUAUCGGGUUUACUAACGGACCGGUAUACAUUACAACCAUUUGUAUGUUACAUUCAUGGUCUUAAGCUAGUCUUAUUUUGAAUCCGUUUGGUUGUAAAUCAAUAAAUUUGUUUUCAAGUGGAAUAACUCAUGUCUUCACCGUGAACCUAAUUCGUAAACUUUUUGUAAUUACGUACCAUGGGUUAUGGUUAACCGUCCGGUUGUAUAUUCUUGUUUAAAACGAAUUAACAUAAAGGCUAUAUAUCUCUUCGUACAUGACUAAAAAUAAACGUGUUUUACUAAUCAGCAUCUAACAGUAUCUCUAAAACAUCAGUAAAGUAAGUUUACCGAAUUUUGAUUGUAUUUUUACACCGUUAGGUAACCGUGUUUAUCUGAAGUAUGUCAUGAGAGUUCAGAUGUUAUGUUAUGGUUAACCGUUCGGUUGUAAGUCUCUUCGUAGAUGACUUGAAUCCAACAUCUUUAAGUCUCUUCGUACAAGACCUAAAUCGUUCAUCUUUAAGUCUCUUCGUACUCACCUCCUCGGCUAAGAUGGCAAAGCACAUACGACAGAUGGAAAAGGAUAAUAGUCAACCCUACAGUGAAAAAGACAGAAGGUACGAGUCCCAGAAAACUAUAUCUUGAACAACUGAUAGACUGAAGGUACGAUAAACUGGCAUUUAAAUUGGUUGUUCUGGUUGACGCCGCCUUCUUUUUUAAUAUAUUAACUUUUGAAGAAAGCUUAUGCUUAAGUGACUAUAUUAAAAACGAGGGCGGCGUUAGCCAGAACCAUCAAUUUAAAUGCCAGUUUCAACUUCGUGCAUCUAUCUCCUUCGUGAUGUAACACCUUACCUCCCUCAUGUUUUCUAUCCGUAGAGGAUUUAAUACAAACGAUUAAGAAAGUAAAUCGGUUCAACCUACAGUUAGGAGGGUUAAUACACGAAUACAAGUCACUGUACGUAAGAUAAAGUACGUUUCGUGUAUUUGAGAUAUAAUAUCCGGUAACGUAAAACAAAUGAGCCAUAUAAUUCUUUAUCCUCAUGUUAACAUCAGUACAAAAAAAUACAAUGAGAAACAUAAAUACUUAAAACUGGGUUUAGACGGUGCUCCACUUGAAACUGACUACAGGUAGUAAAACCAGUUAUAAUAAAACAACAGAGUUCGCGUCUAAGAAGAUUAAUGCCAUGAGGAUUAUUAACUUAUACACCCCUCUCAGUCACAAGGUACUUUGGUCUAACGAAAGGAACGAUGUCUCAUACUCGGUGGAUCCAAACAAAGGGCAGUCGAUUGAAGGAUGUGGUUCGGCCGCCGAACUACAACUCCAUUUCAGAAUUUCUUUUAAGACUAGCUUCAAACAUGGACUAGUUUCAAACGACCGAACCACCGCUCCCGCAGUUGUACCGCUGCCGCCAUCGGGCGCGAGCGUAGGCAACCAGUCGUCUCCUCUCGUCGUCCGCCGGUGCCGCGGGGCGCGAGUACAGGCACCCGGUCGUCUCCACUUCGGCUGCCACCGCGGCCUCUGAGAGCGAGCGUAGGUACCCCGUCACAUCCUCUCCGUUCACCGCUGCCGCCAGACACGAGCGCAGUAACCCCGUCAUCUCCUCGCCUGCCGCCGCUGACUCAGGGCACAAACGCAGAAACCCCAUCGUCUUCUCCUCGCCUGUUCCCUGUUGCCGUCGCAGCUAGGCGCGAGUGCAGGUAUCCCGUCGUCUGUUGUCUCCUCCUCGCCGCCCGCCACCGCCGCUAGACGCGUGCGCAGACACCCCAUCGUCUCUCUGCUGCACAACACUCCCGUCUCUCUUUUAAUGCCCUAUCUUUGGGGGAUAGGGGCAAUUAACUCCUGGUUGGCCACGCAGCCCGUCAGACGAACCGUCUUGUAAAUUAGACCCUGCAAGUACACGCAUCGUCUGGGAACUACAUUAUACCUGACAAUCUACGAUAAAUCAACCUAACUAGAUUGCGGAGACUAUUAGGACACAUGUGAAACACCACACAGAGAUCCUCUUAAGUACAAACGAGAAAAUUAUCAUCAUAUCUAUUGAUUAUCUAAAAACGUUAUUCAUACACUCAAGAAAUACUGAUUACAACUCAGGUACCUAACAUGCGUGAGAGUGGGAAGGUGGUAACGAUCUGAGAGAUCAUGGUACGUUGAAAGCGGCCAUGGUAUUUGGGUGGUAUAUAGAAGGAGUUUUGUCGGCGGUAUGGAUGGAUAAUACCGUAAAGGUAUCGGUAAGGCUCUAUAUAACGGUACGUUGAAAGGUGGCAAGGCAAAUAAUACUGUACGAAGUAGUAACAGUAUAACGAAACGUACUAGUACAUCAACUGUAGCAUAAACACCGUUUCGGUGGUAAGUAUUAAGAAAGUAUGUACAGUGAGUACUCAGUAACGUGUAGGGCCAUGUGGCGGCCUCCGUAAGUAUAUCUCAGUAUAAAACAAGAUUCAUAGCUCAACAUUAAAGACUCAACAUUCAUUUAUUUUCACACUACUAGGAGUAAUAAUCUCGUAACAGGGUACACUCCUUUCCUACUACCUCUGAUACUAAGGGGGUGUGCAGCCCUAAGCUGAGACCUUUUUUUUAUUUUAUUUUCUCUUUUUUCUCCGGUAUUUUUUUCUUCCGGGUUUUUUGUUUUUUUUUGUUUUUUUACUCUCUUUUUCUCUCUUCCCCGUUACGAUGAUAGGAAAACGGUGUGAACACGAAGUUUCAUCGUGGUACUAGAAGUACUAUCUCUCAGAGGAUACAACAGUGAAAGUAUUUGAUCACCCUUAGAAAGUAAUAUCUUGAACCGAACAUAUAAAGUUACUAACCGAAGGAGUUUUACGGGAUCCAGAAGAACUCGUUCGCUCAACCUACGUGUGGGUGAAUCAAAGAAAAACUCGAAAGUAUGUGAAUAUCGAAAUCACGUAGGCAACGUACCGUUAAGGAUGAGUGAGUGUAACUAUAGAUAACUACCCGUAGAGGUAUCGGACAACUAUGCGGAUCAAAUAAACUCUGAUAGAAGAAGAAAAACAGAAGAGGUGUUGGUAGUAAGAUAAGGUGGAUAUCACGAUACAGGUACCGAGUGCGAGUACAUAACGCACUUCUAACUUUUUCAAACUCUUGUAGUUUUCAUACUUUGUUAACGAACCGAACAGUAGCCCCAACACGUACUAAAUUUAUAAAACACACUACUUCUAUCUCGUAUCGGUCUGAUAUACUUAAACAUCCCUAUUGAAAGAAACCGGUACAAUAAAACUCUUCUGUGCUAACGAAACAAUCAUACGAACUUCAUAAUAAUAAAAAUACGGUUAUAAUUUGAAAACAGAACUUAGAAUACCUAGACUUAUAAGAACGGUGUUAUUUCUUCUAAUAUAACUAUCUAUACAAUCCAUCUUAAGGUGUAGUUUUUAAGAUAAAAAUAGUAAAUGGAUGAGCUCCUGCUCGUCCUUAAUUCGAACCCCUACGAACUAUGCAGAGGUUGUAUAGAUAUUAAAAACUAACAAGGUACGAUAAUAUAAUAGUUGGAACCUACAAAAUAUACGUAAAUAUACGAUAAAAUAUACUAAAAAACCUGAUUGGAUAAUUGGAUCUCGGGUCACGGUCAAGGACAAAAAAAGGAACAAAAUCUUAUAGCAUCUUUUCCUAGUUCGCCUCAGGUUAACUGGACUUUGAAGUGUCUUGAAUAAAAACCUUGCCUUCGUUAGGUCCUCUGAACCUCAUAUGCAGUUCCUUCGAAGCUCCUUCGGUGCUCCAUCCCUCCGCGCGGGAUGGGGGAACCCGCGCGAGGGGUGGUAGCACCCGAGGAACACCGAAGGGACUGGUUGAAGAAAGCGGAUAUAUACAGGUAUAUGGGAUUUUUCUGGCUCCUCCUCUUAUCUAGCCCUCAAGGCGGCGAUCUUCGGAGACAUCGGUGGUUUUUGGUUAGAUCUGGGCAAGACCGUGGGACGGCCUCCCCCCUUAGGGAGAGGCCACCGGUAGAAGUAGUAGGGCCACGAGAGGUACUGCUCCUCCCUCAUCAAGAGGGAGCCCCGACUCCCAUACAUGGUCAUCGAUACACAAACUAGAGAGACAGUACAAGAACUCCACCG